RNAcentral lists this ribosomal RNA (465 nucleotides) under Vreelandella stevensii. Its description in RNAcentral is "partial 16S ribosomal RNA". It matches the Rfam family "Bacterial small subunit ribosomal RNA", at positions 338 to 795 of the family's 1533-position model. Lineage: Bacteria; Pseudomonadati; Pseudomonadota; Gammaproteobacteria; Oceanospirillales; Halomonadaceae. The record is from RNAcentral.
CCUACGGGUGGCAGCAGUGGGGAAUAUUGGACAAUGGGCGAAAGCCUGAUCCAGCCAUGCCGCGUGUGUGAAGAAGGCCUUCGGGUUGUAAAGCACUUUCAGUGGGGAAGAAAGCCUUGGGGCUAAUACCCCCGAGGAAGGACAUCACCCACAGAAGAAGCACCGGCUAACUCCGUGCCAGCAGCCGCGGUAAUACGGAGGGUGCGAGCGUUAAUCGGAAUUACUGGGCGUAAAGCGCGCGUAGGCGGUCUGAUAAGCCGGUUGUGAAAGCCCCGGGCUCAACCUGGGAACGGCAUCCGGAACUGUCAGGCUAGAGUGCAGGAGAGGAAGGUAGAAUUCCCGGUGUAGCGGUGAAAUGCGUAGAGAUCGGGAGGAAUACCAGUGGCGAAGGCGGCCUUCUGGACUGACACUGACGCUGAGGUGCGAAAGCGUGGGUAGCAAACAGGAUUAGAUACCCGGGUAGUC